GUAAUGGCUCACCAAGGCUAUGACGCCUAUCUGGUCUGAGAGGAUGAUCAGACACACUGGAACUGAGACACGGUCCAGACUCCUACGGGAGGCAGCAGUGGGGAAUAUUACACAAUGGAGGAAACUCUGAUGUAGCAACGCCGCGUGGAGGAUGACACACUUCGGUGCGUAAACUCCUUUUAUGUGAGAAGAUAAUGACGGUAUCACAUGAAUAAGCACCGGCUAACUCCGUGCCAGCAGCCGCGGUAAUACGGAGGGUGCAAGCGUUACUCGGAAUCACUGGGCGUAAAGCGCGCGCAGGCGGCUUUGUAAGUUGGAUGUGAAAUCCUAUGGCUCAACCAUAGAACUGCAUCCAAAACUACUUAGCUAGAGUCUGGGAGGGGAAGACGGAAUUAGUGGUGUAGGGGUAAAAUCCGUAGAGAUCACUAGGAAUACCAAAAGCGAAGGCGAUCUUCUGGAACAGUACUGACGCUGAGGCGCGAAAGCGUGGGGAGCAAACAGGAUUAGAUACCCUGGUAGUCCACGCCCUAAACGAUGAAUGUUAGUCGUCGGGAGGCUUGUCCUUUCGGUGAUGCAGCUAACGCAUUAAACAUUCCGCCUGGGGAGUACGGUCGCAAGAUUAAAACUCAAAGGAAUAGACGGGGACCCGCACAAGUGGUGGAGCAUGUGGUUUAAUUCGAAGAUACGCGAAGAACCUUACCUGGCCUUGACAUUGAUAGAAUCUGCUAGAGAUAGCGGAGUGCCCUUCGGGGAGCUUGAAAACAGGUGCUGCACGGCUGUCGUCAGCUCGUGUCGUGAGAUGUUGGGUUAAGUCCCGCAACGAGCGCAACCCUCGUCACUAGUUACUAACGGUUCGGCCGAGGACUCUAGUGAGACUGCCUUCGCAAGGAGGAGGAAGGUGAGGACGACGUCAAGUCAUCAUGGCCCUUACGGCCAGGGCGACACACGUGCUACAAUGGGAUGUACAAUGAGACGCAAUACCGCGAGGUGGAGCAAAUCUAUAAAGCAUCUCUCAGUUCGGAUUGUAGUCUGCAACUCGACUGCAUGAAGCUGGAAUCACUAGUAAUCGUAGAUCAGCCAUGCUACGGUGAAUACGUUCCCGGGUCUUGUACUCACCGCCCGUCACACCAUGGGAGUUGAUUUCACCCGAA
Molecule: ribosomal RNA, 1151 nt
Filed under: uncultured Campylobacterota bacterium
Lineage: Bacteria; Pseudomonadati; Campylobacterota
Description: bacterial SSU rRNA
Rfam family: Bacterial small subunit ribosomal RNA
Source: RNAcentral